UGAGCAACCUGCCCUUGACUCUGGAAUAACAGUUGGAAACAGCUGCUAAUACCGGAUAUGACCUCCGAUGGCAUCAUCUGGGAGGUGGAAAGCUCCGACGGUCAAGGAUGGGCUCGCGGCCUAUCAGCUUGUUGGUGAGGUAACGGCUCACCAAGGCUUCGACGGGUAGCCGGCCUGAGAGGGCGACCGGCCACACUGGGACUGAGAUACGGCCCAGACCUCUACGGGAG
This 230-nucleotide ribosomal RNA is filed under the name uncultured bacterium. Its description in RNAcentral is "partial 16S ribosomal RNA". It matches the Rfam family "Bacterial small subunit ribosomal RNA", at positions 118 to 347 of the family's 1533-position model. The record is from RNAcentral.